Molecule: ribosomal RNA, 496 nt
Filed under: uncultured bacterium
Lineage: Bacteria
Description: partial 16S ribosomal RNA
Rfam family: Bacterial small subunit ribosomal RNA
Source: RNAcentral
AUGAACGCUGGCGGCGUGCCUAAUCCAUGCCAGUCGAGCGAACAGACGAGGAGCUUGCUCCUCUGACGUUAGCGGCGGACGGGUGAGUAACCCGUGGAUAACCUACCUAUAAGACUGGGAUAACUUCGGGAAACCGGAGCUAAUACCGGAUAAUAUAUUGAACCGCAUGGUUCAAUAGUGAAAGACGGUUUUGCUGUCACUUAUAGAUGGAUCCGCGCCGCAUUAGCUAGUUGGUAAGGUAACGGCUUACCAAGGCAACGAUGCGUAGCCGACCUGAGAGGGUGAUCGGCCACACUGGAACUGAGACACGGUCCAGACUCCUACGGGAGGCAGCAGUAGGGAAUCUUCCGCAAUGGGCGAAAGCCUGACGGAGCAACGCCGCGUGAGUGAUGAAGGUCUUCGGAUCGUAAAACUCUGUUAUUAGGGAAGAACAAAUGUGUAAGUAACUAUGCACGUCUUGACGGUACCUAAUCAGAAAGCCACGGCUAACUACGUG